UAAGUUUUAGAGCCAGGUCUUACUGGAUUCUCAAACUUAUGCAUUUUCCACAAUACCACACUCACUAUGGGCCAUCUCCCACCUGGAUUUAUGCAAAAGCCUUCCUAACUGGUAUAUCUCUCACCUCCUCCAUCCUUCAUCCAAUAUGUAGCCCAAGCAAUAGUUCAAAAAUACAAAUUUCACUGUAGCGCUGCCUGUUCAAAUCCCUUCAAUAAAUUCCUUUUGGUCUUCGAUGGAGUCCAGACUACUUAGCACUCCCUACAAGGUCAUGCAAGGUCUGGCCCCAUUCACCUCCCUAGCUUCAUCUCAAGCUCCUCUCCUUGCAGGUGAAAAUUCAAUGGCUCUGGAUAUAUCUGGAUAUAUUUAAGUAUUGGAAUGCACCUUGACCAUUCUUGCCUCCAGGGCUCGGCACAUUGUCCCUAUGUGCUGGAGAACUUGUCUGCCUGACCUCCAACCCCUCCCAUUUGUAGUCACCAAGGCUGACUCCUUGGUAACAGUAGGACUCCUUUCUCAUGAAACUUAACACACCUUAUUGGAAUCCUCUUAAUCUGUUCUGAGAUCCCCAUACCCCCUCUACUGGGAGCUACAUGAGGAAAGAUCCUGUUUCCAUUUUGUUCACUCUUGAAUGUACAACACCUAGCACAUACACUGACAUAUCAUAAGUUUUAAACACAAAGAUUCUGAAAUGGACAAAUAAAUUUGAUGGGACAAAGGCCAUUACUGACUACUAAGUGAAGCUGUAUCAGUAGAGGCCAAACUCAUAGCUGACCCCAAAGCCCCUACUCUUGGCGUCUUCAAUUUACUGUCCAUUGCUAAAGAUUCUUUUCCAAAUUCCAAAAUUUGAUUCCAAUUCAAAAAUUCAAAAAAAAUCAACAUUUAUAGAACAUGUGCUCUAUGUCCUUCCUGCACUCAGAGCCAUAAAUAACUCCAAGGACAAGACUUGCUUCUUGCCCUAAAUAUGCAUACAGUCCCAUGGAGAACCUUUCAUUUUGCCAACAUGUUGCAAUUCACAUUCUCUUUAAAUCCUUUCAGAACUGAGCUGACAAGGGAUGCUUGGUAGUCUCUUAAGCAUUUGGUAAUAGCCAGUUGACUCCUAUAGGACAACAAGGGGAUUGAGACCUGAGGCCAAAUCUUAUUCAUCAUUAUCAUCCUGGUUAGCAUAGUGUUUGGUAUAUAACAACAGGUUUAAAACUAUCACCAAAUGUGUGAAAGCAUAAACAAAUGAAUGAAGAAAUGAAACAAGUCAAGUCUUGGAAUCAAGCUUUGGAAUCGGGUCAGAGUCUCAGCAGGAAUUCUCCUCUAUCACUAAACAGAUAAAUGACUUAGUGACAAGUCCCUGUAGGGAAGAACCAGCCCAUUUCACACACACAAACUGGCCAGACUUCAGCUAGCAGAGCAUGGGGUCAGGGAAAAGAGGAGCAGGAUAGGGGUUUCAGUGACUUUCAAUUGUUCCAUCACUGGACAGGUUCUCUCCUCUGUCCUCAGGUUUAGAGGGGAGACACGGGGGCAGUCACACCCAUGGAAGAGUAUUGAUGGCUUCACCUGCUCACUGAGGCAAAUCAGAGAGGUAGGCCAAAAGACAAAGAGGAAAAUAGAUCAAGAUAGUGUUCACCACACAUUUUCAUUACCUAGUAGGAAAACCCUUCAGUGACAUCUUAUUUAAGAUGUACAUUGAUAAUCAGUGCCAUGAAUAAAUAUCUAACUGAAACAAAGAUAUUUGCUAGUUUCUAUACCUUUCAAAAUUAGAACAAAAAUCUGAACAGAAACAGCUAUCAAACAGCAUCCUGCACACACACACACACACACACACACACACACACACACACUCCUGAAAUUUCCCCCUGCUGGCAACUUGUUAGUUAUUUGAAUAAACAUUAUUUCUGCCACAUGCUUUAGCACCAAAUAGUACCUUGUAGUCAGUUAAAAAACCUUUAUCAAAGUUAGACUAUGGUAUUAUUUUGACACCAGACAGUCCUUUGCUUUUGUGUAGAAUCACAGUGUUGCCUGAACAGUGUACAAUUACGCUUUUGUGCAGACAAUCAGUGGGUCAUUAGCGUACCGUACAAAUCACCUUGGACUCAGGAUGGAACCCUGGGGACCUGGAGCCGCAAUAGACUGGAGAGAAGACAUGGUGUUGCUGACAGUUACCUCUGAUGGCAGUUAGAAAGCUGUUGCUGCUAUUGUUUAAGUUGUAUUGAGUCCUGGCAAUGAGCAGGAUGCUGUGUACAACAGUCAGGAUCCCCACAUCUCUGGCCUGUCAGCUAAUACAGGAAGAUACACCCGCCAUGAGCUUUAGUCGCAGCUCUACAUAAAUAGGAGAAAUACUGACUGACCAACACCAAGGAGAAGCAUAAUAAAGUACUGGGAAUAUUCUGGAAACUUCCUGAAGAAACAGUAGAUGCAAUAAAGGAAGAAAAAGUCAACACUGCCUUUGUAUCCAAUGGCCCCUCGCUCUUAAAUCCAAUACCUUGAUUGCUUUCUGGUUAAAUCUGACUUCCAACUUGAGAAAAAGAACAGUGACUUAAGAAGUCCCUUUGUGCAUGUGAAUCAUAACCCCUGGAAUUAGGACAGAGGUAAGAGUAAUACUAUUUCCAACAAGCAGAGAUGGGAACUGCUGUCGGUCACUCUGAUAUGCUGUGUAGAAACCAACUUGGGCUGUCAUGCCAUGCAUACAUGGUAGAAUACUUCAUUUAUAACUACUCUCAUGGAGGUAGGGUCAGAUUGCUAAAUCUGAAUAAUUUAAAUUCAGAGUACUUCUUCAGUAUUCUUUCUUUAUAAUUGAAGGUUUUUAAAGGGCAAGAUUUGCUUAGAACCAUGGUUAAAAUAGUAGAGUAAAACUACAGUGAUCUAAAAUGAUCUAAUUUUCUAGAAAAUUACUACUUUCUACAAGCUGCAUAAACUUUAAUUAAAAAGACAAGGAGGCCUAUUCUCUCCUCUCCUUACACACAUACGACAUACUAGGCCCUUGGGAUUCUGGUGAAAGGAAAAGAGCAGAUUGAAGAAAUUAGAAUUUUUAGCAAAACUAAAGCUAAUUAAGAUGUAAUGCUUGUUUCCAUCAUUAAGGACCAACAAGUAUCAAACAUUGUUGCUUUUCUAGAGAGAAAAUAUGUUUUACUUGAAAAUAUGUGUAAAGUUAGUUUAUAAAAUAAACUGUAGAGGCAGGUUAAGUCACAAGUAACAACACACAAAUCACCUCAUAGGAACAUGACAAUAACGUUCUGCAGUUAAAUAUCACCAAGAUGAGGAUUCCUAAGAGGCUUAACACUGUGCUUUAUGUAUCUAUAUCCGAUAAAAUAUCCCCAGCAUCCUAUUAAAAAUAUUUUGGUAGUUUCCACUACAAAUUCUCCAGAAGCUGAUCUUACUGGUAGCAUAUUUAGAGGAAUGGAUCAAGGAAAAGGGAGGCCACUAAGGUGAGAACAGACACUGAGUUUGAAAUAACCUCAGCAAUUCACAGGAUAGGAUCUAUGGCCACAAAAGGUUUCUCAGCCUAAGUAAUCACUCAGGGUUUUUUUUUUUUUCCUUCACCUGCUUUCUCUCUUUGCUUUCUUCCUUCCUGAUCGCUCUCUUUCCGUGGUAGUCCACCUUCCAAGCUGUUCCCAAACUGACUGUCUAAAAUCACCUUAAAAGGACAUAUUUGAUGCAAAGCAGCUUAGUGCACUCUGUCCUAUGUGUAGAAGAAGCAUUUGGGUAGCCUCCGUGUCAGUGUGAAUUGGGCUGCCAUGGAGGCUGGCCCACCGAGAUUAAAUGAAAAUCAACUCUAAUAGGGAUGAUGUAAAACAGAAUAGCAUUUUUUAAAAACACAUUCAGGUAUCUGCAGGUAUUCCUCCCAUUCAACAAGUUCUGAAAAAAGCUGGACAGCAGCUACAGCUUCAUAAGCAGCUUCUUGCUAUAUGAUGUUGAUGCGCUGACAAAAAAUUGAGAAAUGAGGGGAAGGAUGUGCACAUAGCACAAAUGUUUAUGAUUAUGUACACAUCACUCGUGUUGCGUACGUAGCUCAGCUAUACUAACUAUACUAACUGAUUAACUGUAUUUAUAUAUAUGGGAGGUGGUUUGAAAAGCACUAGAAUGUGUGUGUGCAUAUGCAAGCAGAGUGAAAUACUGUAUUGUGUGUAUAAAUAUCAGGUAGUAUAAAAUAAAAACCCUAUAGUUGUUUGUUUAGGGACACAUUUGGAUUGAGUGAGCACUAUAACAAUCAUUUCUUUCAAAGCCACAAAAACAUCAUACUUUUUUAGUUUUAAUAAAGUCUAGUUUUUGGCAGUUCUUUUAUCACAUCUGUCAUCCCCUAAGCUUUGCUUAGCCAAAGCACUCAGACUCAAAUUUUGAAAUUGUCAAUAUAGUCCUUCUAAUAUUUAAGUCUUAAAUUAUCUAAGCAGAUUAACUACUCUUAUUCUAUGCCUACAGGAUGCAGGGGUAAAGAAAGGCAGAGGAAAUAAUAACUUUUUUUCAGGCAAUUAAGUUCCUGUGGAGGUUGUGUUUGGGGCAUGCAUUUGGAAAGUGGUCCAAUGUAUUUAUGUAGAUAACCAGGUAGACAAGAGGAGUACAUACACUCCAGUAUCUAGAUCUGUAAGACAAAAAAAAUGGCUCCAUCUAAGAUGCUUAAUCCUUGAGCUUUUAAAUAAAAAGUUAUAGUUCACACUGACACUUUCCAGUUUGCCAACUAGCAGUGGAUGUCCUGAAGCCAAGAAAGAUAUCUUAUAGAAACACACACACACAAAGGAAAGAAAAAAGAAAGGGAGAGAGAAAGGGGAGGGGGCUCCUUUUCACAGCAGUGCCUAUCUGUGUGGUGACCUCAUUUUUGCUACGAUCUCCCUUUGGAGAUCAAAGCAGGAUUAAUGUGAUUCUUUACUGUUUGCCCUGCACAUCUCAGAGCUCUGGAGACUUCGGAAAUAAGUGGAGAUGCAGCCCUGGAACACAGGGGAAACAGAAUAGGAAUGUGGUGGGUGAACAGUCCAAAGGAUAACUAUGAAAAGUUAUUUGGGAUUUGGGAAGCAAUGCAGAAUUUAAAGUCCUUUGCAUUUUUAAACACCUCUGCUUUCUCUUUUCUCAUUUUCUGGGGCAAGGCUUUUGGCUAAUUGAUGAGGCCAGCACUAAAUGUCAUAUUAAUAAGUCUCCACAAUGACCUUCUAGCUCAUUGGGAAUGUUUUGCAGCUGCUUGUACACAUAAUAAGAGAAUGGAACCCUGCAUGUUUUCACACUAAAGUCCUUUCGCGUUACAACCAGGCAUGUAUGCAGAGGAUUUAAAAGAAGGGAAAAUCUUCCAAAAUAUCAAAAUGAGCUUUUGUAUUUCCACCGCGUGUCACAUUCCUGGAUGCCGGAACCCCUAAAGAGUGUUUCUGCAGCCUUUCAGAGGUGCUCGUUGUUUUCUUGAGAAAAAAAGGCCAGUCUUCUAUUCCUGGGAUCUCCGAAGGUGAAGGAAAAAUCACUCUCGUUUUUAAUGCUUAAUGUAUACACCUCUUGGAGGGGUAGAGAAAGCCCCCCUCUGCCAAACCUGUCUGUGAUUUCAGCUGCAUUACCUAGAAGAGGGCGCUGCAGUUUUUAGGGACUCGGUACAGCAGGGGAGAACCGGAUUGCGGGGGUAGGGGCGGAGGUUCUCUUCAGUCAGGGAUGUGACCCCACGGUCUCCACUCUUGGUUUACGUAAUUCCACCCCAAACUCACCUUCUCCGCAACUCUGCACGCCUAGCCACACAAAGACACUCGCACAACAAGAAGUCCCCAACUCCAACAGCCCAUUCACUACUAAGCUAAGCCCUGGUUUUUCCUGCGAGCACCUUCGUCUUGUUCGCGCUUCCAAGUUCCUUUAGGUUAGUGCUCGAAGACCAUUUUUUCCCCCUUUCACCAAGUCUCUCCAAACCCAGCUGGAGGCUACGUGGCCAAAGCCCAAGAAGUGGCGCAAGAAGAAGACACCUCAUGACACGCUGGGGAUAAAGGUCUAGAUAGGACCCAAAGGCGGGGAUCCAGGGGCCUUCCCACGCGUAUCCCCGCCCUGACACCCAUGGAGGUUCCACCUCCUUUUGCGUAACGUCCAAUGCGCCUGUCCCCUGCGGAGCGGCGGGGAGCUUGGAGUCAGGCUGUCUCCAGGGCCAGGAGUGCGAGGCCAGGGGUCUCCUCUGCUGCAGUCCUCGCAGCCCCGCCCGAGAGCUCAAACUUUCGCUUCUGCGUCCUAGCGGCGCCGGACUCCCGCUGCCUGCCCCGAGCUCCCACCUGGAGAGGGAAUUCAACAAGGAACCCGGUGAAUUGCCUCAACUGGAUAAGCAGCCCGCUGGUGAAGCUUUUUGUCCGGAAUACAAUUCCCAGGGCCAAGAUAAGGGAGGAGGAAUCUCUCUCAGUGCCUAAACACGCUACGCUCACCUCCAGUUGUUUUAAUCACAACAAACACUAGCAAACUGGACUGUCCUUGCUUUAUUUAGCUACAGCUGGCGGUGUUGAUAAUUGUUUUCUCAUUAUCAUGCUAAUUUGUUAACAAGGAAAUUUUCCGUUGAACAGGGAUUAUUCCGGAAUCGGUAACUAGGAAUCUUGGCUGGCUGAGGGACUCAGCCCGAAAAUUCUGUUGGAAAAGCUCCCAACAUCAGUAUCAGCCCACCCACCCUCCCCCUCUCAUUCCCUAUUUUUACACUAUUAUUCUUUCUGCAGCCCUGGUUUGCACAGCGGUGGCCUAUCACUCGGAAACCAUCCUGUAGCGAAAAAGGAUAGUAGUUAGAGACCCACAAUUCAUUUUAAAAAUGUUAAGUUUUAAAAUAUUGCAGGGUGUUUUUUCCCGAAGUUUAAAGGACCACCUGAAAACUCAAGUACAAUUAGUCGCUGUAUUUUAAAGGACUUUAUAUUGCUGAAAAAUUUCUAACCGUCGGUGUCUGACUUUGCAAAAUAUAGGAGUUAGAAUUUAGUAAAAGUUACUUACUAAAGCGCAGUGGGAGCCCUGUAAGUUUUACAGUUUCUGCCAAGACAUUGCUAAUAUGUAUGUAUGUAUUCUCAUGGGUUGUAUUUUUUUAAGCUCUCAUUUUUAAAACUUCAUGUUUUGGGCAUGAUUCCUUAAGUUCCUAUUAAUAUGUGAUCUUUUUAAUCCAGCAGAAAAUCGAAAUUCUAAGGAAGGGAAGUGCAGGCUUCAGCCUCUCUUCACAUCGUUACAAGUAAGGUUUACCAACUCUUUUGACUUGUAUUUGCUAACUUAGAAAACUUUAAAGGUAAAUUUGGAAAAUUAACUUGAAAGAAGCACAUAACAAAGGGUGACUUUCAUCAGUUUUUUUUUUUGGAGGGGAGGGUGUUUAAAUCAGUUAAGACCCACAGAGUAAUAAAAUUACAUAGCAUUCUGAAAUAUAUAAUAUGGGGAGGGCUUUAAAAAAUAAUCCCAUCUAACAAUCCUUGCAUAUACACAACUAGCAAGAAGUCCGCAACUACCAACAGCCAGCAUUGCUUGCAAAUUGUAUUCGAUUGAAACUCUGCUGAAGAGUUGAUCUUUCAUUGUAUUUUGGAAUUGUGUGAAGGUAUGUAUGUACGGGAUCUAUGUAUGUAUAGUUCUUAUACUUUAUAUAUGUUUAGACAUGCAUCCCUUUUAAAUGUUUACGUGGUUAGUCACUUUAAGAACAUCAAAAUAAAUUAUACGUUGGCUCACACUAUCUCCCAGGUAUUCCUAAACACUGAUGAACAAAAAUCUUUAUAUCGGAAAUGAAGAGUACCCAUUUAAAGGAAAGAAUGGAAAGGGGAACUCGAUUUAUUCUCAUUUGUUUAUCGCUAGACGUUCCCCCCACCUCUCCACAAAUUCAUUUGAAUAGCUUUCAAGCCGGAAAAUGGAAAUGUGGCUCCUGCCCUCUAUUUCAGCGGCAGCAGCAGCGUCCUGGCAACAGCGCAAUUUUCUAUCAUCAAGGAUAAAUGGCAUCGAACAGAACAUUCUGAUAAAAAAAAAAAAAAAGAAAGAAAGAAAGAAAGAAAGAAAAAAAAGCUUCAGCCCAAGGAGCCCAUGAUUGCUGGCCUUCCUGUCUGUCAUCCCUUUACAAAAUCCUCUCCGCAAACCUGAGCGGCAUGCUGUCAGAGCUAAUAACGUCUUCUGGGGGGGG
Acinonyx jubatus (cheetah) is the source of this 8050-nucleotide long non-coding RNA. RefSeq lists it as uncharacterized. NCBI's taxonomy places the organism in Eukaryota, Metazoa, Chordata, Mammalia, Carnivora, Felidae. The record is from RefSeq and is a predicted model, not a curated record. The transcript has 5 exons.